Molecule: long non-coding RNA, 5327 nt
Filed under: Brassica napus (rape)
Lineage: Eukaryota; Viridiplantae; Streptophyta; Magnoliopsida; Brassicales; Brassicaceae
Description: long non-coding RNA (BNAP_LNC001586)
Source: RNAcentral
CAAAGCGUACAUGAAGCAAAGAAAUGGAAAGUGGAGCACCAACUCCUAACAAACAUGAAAUGGGAAACGUGACAUGAAGAUUGGUUCCUAUAGUUAAGGAAGACCACUUCUUUUAUUAAUAAAACUAGAAAAUAAAUGAGUCGUGAGACUCCUUCAUGCGAGAUUCUUGCCCUUUGGUUGACGUCGUCUAGCUGAUCUCGUACUUGCCACCUCAGCACGUGCUUGACUUCUAGUAUCCUAUCAAUACCCCGGUGGUCUAAAAGAACCUUGUCCUCAAGGUUCAUGUGCAUUGAGGAAAACUUCACUUGAAUUGAUUCUCUUCCUCCCCGGUUGAUUCUUCUAGUUGUGAUGUUUUUCAACGCACUACGGCUUCCAAGACCAAGCUGUCUCCAUGGUUCGUUAUUAACAAUAAUUUUUUUGAAUAAAAAGAGUUUUUGUUUUUGAGUGAAAAAGAAAUAUAAAAUCCUUUUUUUUUUUUGAAAUUGAAAACAAUGGAAGAAUUAUAGAUAUUAAUCCAUACAAAAGAAAGGAUGUUGAACUUGAUCAACAAACCCGAGUAGAAAAUUGUGAAAAAAAGCAAUGAAAAGAACAAUAGCUGGAUAGAUCUCGAUAAACGUUGAUUCCGUAGAAUGGCCAUUCGUCAAGGUUUCUUGAUAAUCAUUGAUUUAUAGAGAAUACUGAUAACAAGUAAGAUGGAAAAAUAUUAAGUUUUUGAUACCACAAAGUGGUCCGGAUCAAAAACAAAACAUGCUCUGAUACCAAUUGAUAGGUCCCUUGCCAAGAGAUAUCUAUUGUUGAUCUAGAAACAUGGAUUUGAUACCAAUUAAGGUCCCUCUUCAAAUCAAAGAGAAUUUGCCAAAGGACAAACUAAGAACACACACUUUUCUUUGGGUAGUUAGACUACCUCUUUUUAGGUUUUUCAUUCAUAUAAAUAGCAAAGCGUACAUGAAGCAAAGAAAUGGAAAGUGGAGCACCAACUCCUAACAAACAUGAAAUGGGAAACGUGACAUGAAGAUUGGUUCCUAUAGUUAAGGAAGACCACUUCUUUUAUUAAUAAAACUAGAAAAUAAAUGAGUCGUGAGACUCCUUCAUGCGAGAUUAUUGCCCUUUGGUUGACGUCGUCUAGCUGAUCUCGUACUUGCCACCUCAGCACGUGCUUGACUUCUAGUAUCCUAUCAGUUUGCCUCUAAUGUUUAUGCUAAUUUAAGAGACUGCGAGUUGUUUUUCUUCUACUAAACCGGCACACGUUCUGUUUCUCAGAAAGUAAUUGUUCAGUAUCGUACUUUUACAAAAUUAAUACUAUCAAAAACAAACAACUUUACCAAACACAGAUUUAAAGUCAAACGCAGCCAUGCUACAAUAAACUAGAGGAAACGACGACAACAAAAAUAGUAUCAGAUAAUAAAAUUAGAAGUACUAAAGUGAUAACAACAAAAAGUAACAAUGUUAUUUGAAAAACAGAUACUUGCAAGGACUUAAACAUAAGGAACUUCAAAUAUGAGAUUUUGUACAUUAUAAAUUCAAAUAUGAAGUUUCACUGUACAAAACAUCAAAAUUUAAAAUUUUGAACUUGCUUUUAGAGCAAGUAAAACUCCAUAUUUGAAGUUUUGAAAUUGAUUUUGGAGAUGUUCUUAACAUGAAACAAUUGGUUUUGAUUUGUACUCAAUUAUAUGUUCGCUUCAGUUUAAAAUGUAUUUUCUUAACAAAUUGUACAAUCAAUGAAGUUAUUGCUUUAGUCGGAUAAUAAUGUUUAGCAACAUAACCGAUAACGUGGAUAUUCAUUAUAUCAACAUAAAAUAAUGAAAAAACAAAUAACAUAUAUAUAGUAAAGAGUCUAUAAAUUAAUACUCGGCAAAUGAAUAGGCACAAUAAUUAAUAAAUUUUAUUGGUCUUGAAUUGGACAUAUGUAAAAUAUAACAUAAUUCGAUAAAAUAAUAAUAACAUAACUAUUAUAUAUAACUUUUAUAUAAACAUAAAUAAAACAUCUUUUAAAAAAUGAAUUCAUCUUUCAUCUUUUUUUUUCAAUUUCAAUAUUCUGAUGUUUCUAUUGAAUUACAGAUAACAGACUUUUAUACUAUCAUCAAAUUCAACACACAUGAUAUAUCAAUUAAUUUAAUAAAGUAGAUAAAAUUUAACUAAUAUAUAGUAUCAUAAAGUUAUUUUUUUUUAACAAUAUAAUCAGCUAUUGUAACACAAACAACAUAUAUCUUAUCACAUAUAAUUCCUUCUCACCUAAAACUUUCUAAAAGACAAAAAAAACAUUAUCAUACACAUCUCUUGGAAAUGCAAACUUAUAACACAAACUACAAAAUCAUGCAAAAAUAAUAAUCUAGAUCACAAGUAAAGUAUAUAUAUAUCUAUCUAUAUAUAUAUAAAAUUGUCUGCCUCUCUCCUAAGCCAUCCAACUGGAAACUCGUUCUCUGAGGGGCUGACACUUGUCCGCUUUUUAUAAAACGCGUCGUAUCACUUAAAUUUUAAUAGAUCCGUGUUGGGCUUAGAUUUCGUUAUUGGGCUUCAGUUUAAUUGAGAGAAAGAGGUCGGGCACAUGAAUUAGGGUCCGACGGUCGUCUUCUCCAAACUCAGAUGACGUUCCUGAUACCUUCAGCAGAGAAACGGAUCUACCUUUAAUCCCAUUGAUUGGUGCCUCCACGAUGUGUUUUCAAUGCGAUCCUUACGCCUCAGAGGUGGUGCGAUUAUUGCGUAUAAAUAGGGGUCACCCCUCUCAUCCUCGACGCACCCACGCUUUCCUACAUAGAUUCUUCUUUGUUUUUGUCAUGUAUGCUCCGAAAGUUUUCUUCUCAGACCUCAAGUCCGGCAAGUGCUCCUCCGUCGUUGAGGCUCGGCUUCUGCGGUCCUGGGAGGCAAAAAAUGUCAAACGCGAUGGGGAAUUGAUGUGGGUCGACAUGCUCUUGAUUGACGUCAACGUAAGUUCUUUUCUUAUCAGUAUAUUAUUCCGAUUAGCCUCUUCGUGUUUGCGUUUUUUUCCUAACUUUUAAAUUUUUUUUUCUUCGUGUAUCAGGCGACAAUGAUGCAGGUCACCAUCAAUGCUAACCGCCUUUCACGAUUCCGUUCCAAACUCGCCGCCGGGACGAUGUACACCGUCUCUGGCUUCGAUGCGGCGGCGAUGAGGGACUUUCUAGUUUCUUCGUUCGAUCUGAAACGGUUCUAUCUAUGGCUGCAUGGUAAAUCGAAUUGAUCGGAUUUUAUCAUUUUGUGAGUUUCGUCAACGGAAGAGAAAGAUGGUAGUACAGCUCCUAUUAUCGAGACUAGGAUGCAAGAACCGACCCUUUUUCGGGUAAUGGCGGCGGAUAGCAGAUCUCCGAGAGACGGGAAGCACAUCGAGGUCUUGGGUUACUUCAAUCCUUUGCCAGGUGAUUUAAUGAAGAGGAUUUGUAUUCUUUGGUUCGAUUUUUGAUUGCUCUCUUCAUUUGUUUUUACACUGUUUCGUUUGUGUGCAGGCCAGGAUGGUGGUAAGAGAAUGGGUCUCAAGUUUUAUAGAAUCAAGUACGUUUCCUUAUCAUCUUUUCACAUUUGAGUUUGUGAAUGGAGUUGGAUGAUUUAGACCAUUGUUAUAAGGGAAGGCUCUCUUAGUUUAUUAAUAUGUGAAUGGAGCUGGAAACGUUAUUAGAAUGAUUCUUCAGUUCAUUGUAGCUUUGUGAAAGUAGUUUCCUUUGUUCAAAGGAGCAAUGCGUUUUUUUAAUCAUGUUUCUUGAGAUUGUCUUCUACUUACUUAAAUCACUCUUCUGGGUUUCUGCAUUUGAAAUGUUUUGGUCUAAGAUAUCAGUCAGGGUUUGCAGUCACAUUUACACAAUGAUUAGCUAUAUUUCCUUGGAUAUUUUCUCUUUCAUAUGUGUUGUUAUGACUACUUUCUCUGUUUUCUUUGAUUGAAUUUUGCAAUGUUUUUUUUUCAAAACAAAAAAAAUUUGCUUUAUUUUCUGGUGGUUUCGUGGCAGCUCCAUAACUUGAGUUUUAGGGGUUUUCAAAGUGUAAGCUCCAUAACAAUUGAUUUUCCAUAACAAUGUAAGUUAUCAAUGGGUAAUCUUCUGGUUUGUAUUUGUCACGUAGAAACUUCGAAUCCAUAUUUGGCUAUUUGAGCGGAAAGAUCUGAAGACUGAAGAAAUAAUUAAUGUAAAUCUGUACUACACAUUUUUAGCUAUGAAUCUGUUCCGAACAGAGCUCCAUGAGCAUGUACUUUGUAAUUCCUAGCUUAGUUUUCUUUCUAAAUCAAGUUUAAAUACACUGUUUAAUCGAUCUCUUUGUUUUCUCAAGUGUUCAGGAAUUCAUGGUGUUCUUUGUGCGGCUGAAUUCAUGGAGUACAAACACUACCGAGUAAGUUCAUCAACACACUACUGAGGAAUUCAUGGUGUUCUUUGUUCAGAAAGUUGCUUCACAUUUUAUUUUUCUUGCAUAUUCAAUUCGUGUCCAUUGGCCACUAGACUAACUUAAGGUUAUGUUCUUGAUUCAUCUGUCCCCUUCACAUUAUGUAUCUGAGGUUGAUCAAGAUUACUUUGAUAGGUCCCUUGCCAAGAGAUAUCUAUUGUUGAUCUAGAAACAUGGAUUUGAUACCAAUUAAGGUCCCUCUUCAAAUCAAAGAGAAUUUGCCAAAGGACAAACUAAGAACACACACUUUUCUUUGGGUAGUUAGACUACCUCUUUUUAGGUUUUUCAUUCAUAUAAAUAGCAAAGCGUACAUGAAGCAAAGAAAUGGAAAGUGGAGCACCAACUCCUAACAAACAUGAAAUGGGAAACGUGACAUGAAGAUUGGUUCCUAUAGUUAAGGAAGACCACUUCUUUUAUUAAUAAAACUAGAAAAUAAAUGAGUCGUGAGACUCCUUCAUGCGAGAUUCUUGCCCUUUGGUUGACGUCGUCUAGCUGAUCUCGUACUUGCCACCUCAGCACGUGCUUGACUUCUAGUAUCCUAUCAAUACCCCGGUGGUCUAAAAGAACCUUGUCCUCAAGGUUCAUGUGCAUUGAGGAAAACUUCACUUGAAUUGAUUCUCUUCCUCCCCGGUUGAUUCUUCUAGUUGUGAUGUUUUUCAACGCACUACGGCUUCCAAGACCACGCUGUCUCCAUGGUUCGUUAUUAACAAUAAUUUUUUUGAAUAAAAAGAGUUUUUGUUUUUGAGUGAAAAAGAAAUAUAAAAUCCUUUUUUUUUUUGAAAUUGAAAACAAUGGAAGAAUUAUAGAUAUUAAUCCAUACAAAAGAAAGGAUGUUGAACUUGAUCAACAAACCCGAGUAGAAAAUGGUGAAAAAAAAAGCAAUGAAAAGAACAAUAGCUGGAUAGAUCUCGAUAAACGUUGAUUCCGUAGAAUGGCCAUUCGUCAAG